This 450-nucleotide ribosomal RNA is filed under the name uncultured bacterium. RNAcentral's name for it is "partial 16S ribosomal RNA". It matches the Rfam family "Bacterial small subunit ribosomal RNA", at positions 354 to 796 of the family's 1533-position model. The record is from RNAcentral.
GUGGGGAAUAUUGGACAAUGGGCGAAAGCCUGAUCCAGCCAUGCCGCGUGUGUGAAGAAGGUCUUCGGAUUGUAAAGCACUUUAAGUUGGGAGGAAGGGCAGUAAGUUAAUACCUUGCUGUUUUGACGUUACCGACAGAAUAAGCACCGGCUAACUUCGUGCCAGCAGCCGCGGUAAUACGAAGGGUGCAAGCGUUAAGCGGAAUUACUGGGCGUAAAGCGCGCGUAGGUGGUUUUGUAAGUUGGAGGUGAAAUCCCCGGGCUCAACCUGGGAACUGCCUCAAAAACUGCAUGACUAGAGUACGGUAGAGGGUAGUGGAAUUUCCUGUGUAGCGGUGAAAUGCGUAGAUAUAGGAAGGAACACCAGUGACGAAGGCGACUACCUGGACUGAUACUGACACUGAGGUGCGAAAGCGUGGGGAGCAAACAGGAUUAGAUACCCCAGUAGUCC